Molecule: ribosomal RNA, 497 nt
Filed under: uncultured bacterium
Lineage: Bacteria
Description: partial 16S ribosomal RNA
Rfam family: Bacterial small subunit ribosomal RNA
Source: RNAcentral
GACGAACGCUGGCGGCGUGCCUAAUACAUGCAAGUUGAGCGCUGAAGGUUGGUACUUGUACCAACUGGAUGAGCAGCGAACGGGUGAGUAACGCGUGGGGAAUCUGCCUUUGAGCGGGGGACAACAUUUGGAAACGAAUGCUAAUACCGCAUAAAAACUUUAAACACAAGUUUUAAGUUUGAAAGAUGCAAUUGCAUCACUCAAAGAUGAUCCCGCGUUGUAUUAGCUAGUUGGUGAGGUAAAGGCUCACCAAGGCGAUGAUACAUAGCCGACCUGAGAGGGUGAUCGGCCACAUUGGGACUGAGACAAGGCCCAAACUCCUACGGGAGGCAGCAGUAGGGAAUCUUCGGCAAUGGACGGAAGUCUGACCGAGCAAAGCCGCGUGAGUGAAGAAGGUUUUCGGAUCGUAAAACUCUGUUGGUAGAGAAGAACGUUGGUGAGAGUGGAAAGCUCAUCAAGUGACGGUAACUACACAGAAAGGGACGGCUAACUACGUG